Long non-coding RNA from Oncorhynchus keta (chum salmon), 756 nucleotides. RefSeq lists it as uncharacterized. NCBI's taxonomy places the organism in Eukaryota, Metazoa, Chordata, Actinopteri, Salmoniformes, Salmonidae. The record is from RefSeq and is a predicted model, not a curated record. The transcript is spliced from 3 exons.
UUAAUUUACUAGGGUCGUAGGUGUGUAUGACUGUAGACUUACGUAUGUUACAUUUACUAGGGUCGUAGGUGUGUAUGACUGUAGACUUAUGUAUGUUUAAUUUACUAGGGUCGUAGGUGUGUAUGACUGUAGACUUACGUAUGUUUAAUUUACUAGGGUCGUAGGUGUGUAUGACUGUAGACUUACGUAUGUUUAAUUUACUAGGGUCGUAGGUGUGUAUGACUGUAGACUUACGUAUGUUUAAUUUACUAGGGUCGUAGGUGUGUAUGACUGUAGACUUACGUAUGUUUAAUUUACUAGGGUCGUAGGUGUGUAUGACUUUAGACUUACGUAUGUUUAAUUUACUAGGGUCGUUUGUGUGUAUGACUGUAGACUUACGUAUGUUUAAUUUACUAGGGUCGUAGGUGUGUAUGACUGUAGACUUACGUAUGUUUAAUUUACUAGGGUCGUAGGUGUGUAUGACUGUAGACUUACGUAUGUUUAAUUUACUAGGGUCGUAGGUGUGUAUGACUGUAGACUUACGUAUGUUUAAUUUACUAGGGUCGUAGGUGUGUAUGACUGUAGACUUACGUAUGUUUAAUUUACUAGGGUCGUAGGUGUGUAUGACUGUAGACUUACGUAUGUUUAAUUUACUAGGGUCGUAGGUGUGUAUGACUGUAGACUUACGUAUGUUUAAUUUACUAGGGUCGUAGGUGUGUAUGACUGUAGACUUACGUAUGUUUAAUUUACUAGGGUCGUAGGUGUGUAUGACUGUAG